RNAcentral lists this ribosomal RNA (383 nucleotides) under Ascarosepion mestus. RNAcentral describes it as "partial 12S ribosomal RNA". Lineage: Eukaryota; Metazoa; Mollusca; Cephalopoda; Sepiida; Sepiidae. The record is from RNAcentral.
CAUUAAAUUAAAUUUUUUUUUUACUUAAGUAGUAUUAUAAUUUUUUUAAUAAAUAAUUAUUAUUGAAACUUAAAAAGCUUGGCGUGCUAUAUAUCCAUUUAGGGGAGCUUAUUUAUUAAUUUGAUAAUCCUCAAUUAACACUUACUUUUUCUUGARAUAAUCAGUUUGUGUAUUGCUGUCGUCAGUUUAUUUUGUAAAAUUAUAAAAAACUUGAUAGUAAUAUUUACUUAUAAGUCAAGUCAAAAUACAGCUAAUGUAAAAGGUUUGAAAAUGAGCUACAAUUUAUAAUAUUUAAUUGGAUUAAAAAUGUAAAAAUUUAUGAAUUGGGACUUAAUAGUAAUGUAAUAUUAGUAUGGUUACAUGAAUUAGGUUUUAUAGUGCGU